CAACAUCGCCUCAGCUCCAUUGGAGCCUCAACCGAAGUGCUACUAUAAAAAUAACCAGGUGCAAGGUCAAAAUAAUAACUGCUGCGCAUGGAAUGAACUCGUUUUUAAAGAAUCCCGUCUGGUAGAGAGAAUGUCACUGCCGGAGCAUGAGUGACGCGCAUCUGCUCCACUGCUGCCCCCUGCUCUGUGUCCGGCCCAUACAUGAGGUCGUAACCGUGGCGGGGGGGCUGUGAAUCAGUGCAGAGUGUAAAGCAACCUCUACUCCAUAGUGACGAAUGCUCAUUUCAGGUGUGUCAUGGUGGCUUGCAGUCUACUCACCGACAGUUCAUCUGCUCAUCUGCUCCUGACCCCCACACUGGAGUGAUAUACAUACUGUACGAUAU
Gasterosteus aculeatus aculeatus (three-spined stickleback) is the source of this 383-nucleotide long non-coding RNA. NCBI's taxonomy places the organism in Eukaryota, Metazoa, Chordata, Actinopteri, Perciformes, Gasterosteidae. The record is from Ensembl.